UCGUUUAAGGCAACGAACGGCAUAACAGGAGCGGGACACGACGCCGAGCAGUUGGGAACCGCCGCGCUUCCAUGGCUACUCCCGCCGUGGAAAGCUUCGCCGUGGCGGCGCUCCGCUCCGUCAUGGUCCGAGUCCGCCAGGCGGCCGAGCGAUCCGGCGCCCGCGCCGGGAGCGUGCGCGUCGUGGCCGUCUCGAAAACCAAGCCGGUCUCUCUGAUCCGCGACGUCUACGACGCGGGUCACCGCUGCUUCGGCGAGAAUUACGUCCAGGAGUUCGUCGAGAAAGCUCCUCAGCUGCCGGAGGACAUCGAGUGGCAUUUCGUGGGGCAUUUGCAGAGCAACAAAGCCAAAGCGCUUCUCUCUGCAGUUCCAAAUUUGGCAAUGGUUGAGGGCGUGGACAACGAGAAAAUUGCUAACCAUCUUGAUCGUGCAGUUUCAAGCCUUGGAAGAAAUCCAUUGAAGGUUUUGGUCCAAGUGAACACCAGUGGAGAAGUGUCUAAAUCUGGUGUGGAGCCUGCGAAUUGUUUGGAACUUGUGAAAUAUGUCAAAUCACGGUGCCCCAACUUGGAAUUUUCUGGCUUAAUGACAAUAGGGAUGCCAGACUAUACAUCAACUCCAGCAAAUUUCAAGACACUUUCAAACUGUAGAACUGAGGUUUGCAAGGCACUAGGAAUCAAUGAGGAGCAAUGUGAGUUGUCAAUGGGCAUGUCCGGUGACUUUGAGCAAGCGAUUGAGAUGGGGAGCACGAAUGUGAGAAUUGGUUCCACCAUAUUUGGCCCCAGGGAUUAUUCCAAGAAGCAACCAAAUUAGUGUGCUCUUUACCUGAUGUGUGGGUAAAUUACAUCGGUCCAUGCAUGUAACCUUAUGGAAAGCAUCUUGGCGAUGCUUCUUAACUUGCUCUACAUGGUAUAUCGUGAUGAUGAUCAUGGAGCUGUAGGUUAUGAUGACAAUCGUGAUCACAUCGAGGACUAAAACGCAUAUUUGUGUAUAUCGUUUACUACAGAAGCUUGAGUAUAUUUUCCAAUACUUCAGAGAACAUGCCGAAGACGGAGACUUUCAGAGAUUAUGUAUUUAUACGCUUAAGCACGAGUAUCGUACUAAGGAUAGCUCGUACGGUUGAAUGAAGUGAAGGAUUUGAACA
Syzygium oleosum is the source of this 1140-nucleotide RNA transcript. RefSeq lists it as uncharacterized. The transcript has 8 exons. NCBI's taxonomy places the organism in Eukaryota, Viridiplantae, Streptophyta, Magnoliopsida, Myrtales, Myrtaceae. The record is from RefSeq and is a predicted model, not a curated record.